UGGGUUGUAGCUCAGCGGUAGAGUACUCGCCUAGUGCAUGUGAGGCCCUGGGUUCGAUUCUCAGCACCACAU
RNAcentral lists this transfer RNA (72 nucleotides) under Marmota marmota marmota (Alpine marmot). It matches the Rfam family "tRNA". From Rfam's summary of the family: Transfer RNA (tRNA) molecules are approximately 80 nucleotides in length. Their secondary structure includes four short double-helical elements and three loops (D, anti-codon, and T loops). Further hydrogen bonds mediate the characteristic L-shaped molecular structure. tRNAs have two regions of fundamental functional importance: the anti-codon, which is responsible for specific mRNA codon recognition, and the 3' end, to which the tRNAs corresponding amino acid is attached (by aminoacyl-tRNA synthetases). tRNAs cope with the degeneracy of the genetic code in two manners: having more than one tRNA (with a specific anti-codon) for a particular amino acid; and 'wobble' base-pairing, i.e. permitting non-standard base-pairing at the 3rd anti-codon position. RNAcentral also lists the same sequence under 1 other name. The record is from Rfam by way of RNAcentral. Lineage: Eukaryota; Metazoa; Chordata; Mammalia; Rodentia; Sciuridae.